GUGGGGGAUAUUGCACAAUGGGGGAAACCCUGAUGCAGCGACGCCGCGUGAAGGAAGACGUACUUCGGUAUGUAAACUUCUAUCAGCAGGGAAGAAGAUGACGGUACCUGACUAAGAAGCCCCGGCUAACUACGUGCCGGCAGCCGCGGUAAUACGUAGGGGGCAAGCGUUAUCCGGAUUUACUGGGUGUAAAGGGAGCGUAGACGGUGAAGCAAGUCUGAUGUGAAAACCCGGGGCUCAACUCCGGGAUUGCAUUGGAAACUGUUUUACUUGAGUGCUGGAGGGGCAAGCGGAAUUCCUGGUGUAGCGGUGAAAUGCGUAGAUAUCAGGAAGAACACCGGUGGCGAAGGCGGCUUGCUGGACAGUAACUGACGUUGAGGCUCGAAAGCGUGGGGAGCAAACAGGAUUAGAUACCCGUGUAGUCC
Molecule: ribosomal RNA, 425 nt
Filed under: uncultured bacterium
Lineage: Bacteria
Description: partial 16S ribosomal RNA
Rfam family: Bacterial small subunit ribosomal RNA
Source: RNAcentral